This 450-nucleotide ribosomal RNA is filed under the name uncultured bacterium. RNAcentral describes it as "bacterial SSU rRNA". It matches the Rfam family "Bacterial small subunit ribosomal RNA", at positions 354 to 796 of the family's 1533-position model. The record is from RNAcentral.
GUGGGGAAUCUUGGACAAUGGGGGAAACCCUGAUCCAGCAAUGCCGCGUGUGGGAUGAAGGCCCUCGGGUUGUAAACCACUUUUGGCAGGAAAGAAAUCGCCUGUGCUAAUACCAUGGGCGGAUGACGGUACCUGCAGAAUAAGCACCGGCUAACUACGUGCCAGCAGCCGCGGUAAUACGUAGGGUGCGAGCGUUAAUCGGAAUUACUGGGCGUAAAGCGUGCGCAGGCGGUUUUGUAAGACAGAUGUGAAAUCCCCGGGCUUAACCUGGGAACUGCAUUUGUGACUGCAAGACUAGAGUGUGUCAGAGGGAGGUGGAAUUCCGCGUGUAGCAGUGAAAUGCGUAGAGAUGCGGAAGAACACCGAUGGCGAAGGCAGCCUCCUGGGAUAACACUGACGCUCAGGCACGAAAGCGUGGGGAGCAAACAGGAUUAGAAACCCCAGUAGUCC